AAAUACUCAAGCUCACGACCUUUGCGGAGGUCUUCGAUCGAGCACUGUGGGCGGAGCACGGAGAUGCCCACGUUCGGGAGAAGCGUGAGCUUUUGGCCGAGUCCAAGGAUAAGGGCAAGAAACGCCAAGGCGGCGGUAGUUCGGGGGGACAAACACAUUACAAGAAACCCCCAAAGUAUUCGCGCACUCAACAGAAGAG
This 199-nucleotide long non-coding RNA is filed under the name Ananas comosus (pineapple). RNAcentral describes it as "long non-coding RNA (ACOM_LNC027959)". The record is from RNAcentral. Lineage: Eukaryota; Viridiplantae; Streptophyta; Magnoliopsida; Poales; Bromeliaceae.